UGGAUGUGCCGAGCCUGAACUCCGUCGAGGAGCUCGACGGCGGGGUCGUCGCGAUCGGGGCGACCGUCACGCUCGAUGUGCUCCUGGCUCAUCCUUAUCUCAAUCCCUAUCCGUCGAUCCGCCAGGCGAUUGAAGGCAUCAAUAGCAUGCAGCUCCAGUGCCAGGGAACGCUCGGCGGCGAAAUCCUCCAGCGGCCCCAGUGCUGGUUCUACCGCGAUGGCCGCGGCCUCACCGCUGCCGGCGGCAAGCUCGCGGCUGAGGGGGACAACCGCUAUCACGCGAUCCUGGGCAAUCAGGGCGCGGCGAAGUUCGUGAGCGCCUCGCGGAUCGCCCCGGCGCUCGUCGCCCUGGGAGCGACGGCCCGCGUGAUCGGCCCGGACGAAGCCGACGAGAAGUUUAUUCCCGUCGAGCAGCUCCUUCGCACGCCGCGCCACGAAGGGGAGCGCGAAAACACGCUGGCCGCGAACCAGCUCCUUACUCACAUCCUGCUGCCGAAUGUGGAUGGCGUGGAGAACGCCACGUACGAAGUCCGCCACGGCGAAGGCCCGGACUACCCGCUCGCUGCCGCCGCGGUCGCGCUGCGGAUGGAAGGAGGCGUUGUCCGCGAGGCCAAAGUCGUGCUUGGCCACGUCGCCCCGACCCCCUGGGUCAGCACACCCGCUGCCGAUACGCUCCGCGGCUGGAUGAUCGAUGCCAAUCUGGCCGAAGCCGCCGGCGCUGCCGCCGUGGCUGAGGCGACUCCGCUUUCUAAUAACGCUUACAAGGUGCAGCUCGCCAAGGUCGCCGUCAAACGGGCGAUCCUGCGUGCUGCCGGCCACGAAACGGGAGGAUUUUAAGCCAUGGCCUUUGUCAAAGAGUAUCCCGCCCUGCCGACGGUUACCACGCCGCCGUGCAUCCAUCUCCGCAACAAGGCGAUGUACAUCCGGGGGACGCCCGGCUCGCCGGACACCUAUCCGGAAGAGACCAACGUCCCCUACUGCUGGUGCAACGUCACCCAGCACUUCUACGGCCCGGAUUCCGCCCACGUCACCCGCGACCAGUGCGUCCCCGGCCGGCAGUGCUUUAAAGAGACGUACUGAGCGGCACCAGCCAGCUUGAAGCCAACACAGCCUCGGAAGAGACGGACCAGAGCCGUUUCCACUGAGGCUGUUUUUUUAACGUGAGAGAUCGAGCCAUGAUUCGCCACCUACUGCUCAUCACUGCCUGGCUUUCUCUCGCUUUGUCAGCCGCCGCCCAAACCAACCCGCGCGAGCCGGUUGUCCUCACCGACAAGGCCCGCGAGGUCCAUGCCGCAACAUUCGUUUUCGACGGCCACAACGAUCUGCCCUGGGAGAUGCGGACCAAGGCCGACAGCUCGUUUGCGAAGCGCGAUAUCCGCGAGCCCCAGCCGAAGAUGCAUACGGACAUUCCGCGGCUGAAGGCGGGGAAUGUGGGGGCGCAGUUCUGGAGCGUCUAUGUGCCGGCGGAGACGGCCAAGAAGGGGACGGCCCUGUUGGACACGCUGGAGCAGAUCGAGCUGGUGAAAGAGAUGAUCGACAAGUAUCCGGAUGUCUUCGAGCAGGCGCGGACCGCCAGCGACAUCGAGCGGAUUCGCAAGGAAGGCAAGAUCGCUUCGCUGAUCGGUGUCGAAGGGGGCCACUCGAUCGAAAACUCGCUGGAGAACCUGCGGCGUUUGCACAAGCUCGGCGCGGGCUACAUGACGCUCACGCACAGCGACACGCUCGGCUGGGCCGAUUCGGCGACGGACAAGGGAGAGCACCAGGGGCUGAACCCGUUCGGCGAAGAGGUCGUCCGCGAGAUGAACCGCCUGGGGAUGCUCGUCGAUCUGUCGCACGUCUCGGAUGAGACGAUGAAAGACGCCCUCCGCAUCAGCAAGGCCCCGGUGAUCUACUCGCACAGCUCCGCCCGCUCCAUCGCCGACCAUCCGCGGAACGUGCCCGACGACGUGCUCGUGCUGGUCAAGGAGAACGGCGGCGUGGUCAUGGUCAAUUUCUUCAGCGGCUUCGUCGUGCCCAGCUCGGCAGCCAAAAUGCGGCAAAUGUUCGCUAAAAUCCGCGAGCUGCGGG
RNAcentral lists this unclassified non-coding RNA (2066 nucleotides) under uncultured fungus. RNAcentral's name for it is "sequence contains 18S rRNA gene, ITS1, 5.8S rRNA gene, ITS2, 28S rRNA gene". Lineage: Eukaryota; Fungi. The record is from RNAcentral.